GCGCGCUACCAUGCAGUUCGAGCGCCCCGCAAGGGGAGCGGCAAACGGGUGAGUAACACGCUGGGAAUCUACCCUGAAGUUCGGAACAACAGCGGGAAACUGCUGCUAAUACCGGAUACGUUCUACGGAAGAAAGAUUUAUCGCUUCAGGAUGAGCCCGCGUUAGAUUAGCUAGUUGGUAGGGUGAUGGCCUACCAAGGCUACGAUCUAUAGCUGGUCUGAGAGGACGAUCAGCCACACUGGGACUGAGAUACGGCCCAGACUCCUACGGGAGGCAGCAGUGGGGAAUAUUGGACAAUGGGGGCAACUCUGAUCCAGCCAUGCCGCGUGAGUGAUGAAGGCCUUAGGGUUGUAAAGCUCUUUGAGUAGGGAAAAUAAUGAUGGUACCUACAGAACAAGCCACGGCUAACUUCGUGCCAGCAGCCGCGGUAAUACGAAGGUGGCUAGCGUUACUCGGAAUCACUGGGCGUAAAGCGCGUGUAGGCGGGUGCGAUCAGUCGGGUGUGAAAUCCCCAGGCUGUAACCUGGGAUCUGCACUUGAUACUGUCGCGCUAGAAUCUGGGUACAGGAGUGUGGGAAUUCCUA
RNAcentral lists this ribosomal RNA (584 nucleotides) under uncultured bacterium. Its description in RNAcentral is "bacterial SSU rRNA". It matches the Rfam family "Bacterial small subunit ribosomal RNA", at positions 46 to 672 of the family's 1533-position model. The record is from RNAcentral.